GGAGGAAUAUUGGGCAAUGCCCGCAAGGGUGACCCAGCAACGCCGCGUGGAGGAUGAAUGCCGUAAGGUUGUAAACUCCUGUUAGAGGGGAAGAAUAUUUCCGAUUGCAUCGGAACUUGACUGUACCCUCAGAGAAAGCCCCGGCUAACUACGUGCCAGCAGCCGCGGUAAUACGUAGGGGGCAAGCGUUGUCCGGAUUUACUGGGUGUAAAGGGCGCGCAGGUGGGCUUGAUAGUUAGAGGUGAAAUCC
This 250-nucleotide ribosomal RNA is filed under the name uncultured bacterium. Its description in RNAcentral is "partial 16S ribosomal RNA". It matches the Rfam family "Bacterial small subunit ribosomal RNA", at positions 355 to 602 of the family's 1533-position model. The record is from RNAcentral.